GAUGAACGCUAGCGGCAGGCCUAAUACAUGCAAGUCGGACGGGAUUGGGGAGCUUGCUUCUCAUGAGAGUGGCGCACGGGUGCGUAACACGUAUGUAACCUACCUUAAUCAGGGGGAUAGCCUCUCGAAAGAGAGAUUAACACCGCAUAACAUGAUGAGAUAGCAUUAUUUUAUCAUCAAAUAUUUAUAGGAUUAAGAUGGGCAUGCGGGACAUUAGCUAGUUGGCGGGGUAACGGCCCACCAAGGCGACGAUGUCUAGGGGAUCUGAGAGGAUGGCCCCCCACACUGGUACUGAGACACGGACCAGACUCCUACGGGAGGCAGCAGUAAGGAAUAUUGGUCAAUGGGCGCAAGCCUGAACCAGCCAUGCCGCGUGCAGGAAGACGGCCCUACGGGUUGUAAACUGCUUUUGUACGGGAAUAAACCUUGAUACGUGUAUCAAGCUGAAUGUACUGUAAGAAUAAGGAUCGGCUAACUCCGUGCCAGCCGCCGCCGUAA
RNAcentral lists this ribosomal RNA (498 nucleotides) under uncultured bacterium. RNAcentral describes it as "partial 16S ribosomal RNA". It matches the Rfam family "Bacterial small subunit ribosomal RNA", at positions 28 to 523 of the family's 1533-position model. The record is from RNAcentral.